GAUGAACGCGGGCGGCGUGCCUAAUACAUGCAAGUAGAACGCUGAAGCUUGGUGCUUGCACCGAGCGGGAGAGUUGCGAACGGGUGAGUAACGCGUAGGUAACCUGCCUCUUAGCGGGGGAUAACUAUUGGAAACGAUAGCUAAUACCGCAUAAAAGUCGGCAUUGCAUGAUGUUGACUUGAAAGGUGCAACUGCAUCACUAAGAGAUGGACCUGCGUUGUAUUAGCUAGUUGGUGAGGUAACGGCUCACCAAGGCGACGAUACAUAGCCGACCUGAGAGGGUGACCGGCCACACUGGGACUGAGACACGGCCCAGACUCCUACGGGAGGCAGCAGUAGGGAAUCUUCGGCAAUGGACGGAAGUCUGACCGAGCAACGCCGCGUGAGUGAAGAAGGUUUUCGGAUCGUAAAGCUCUGUUGUAAGAGAAGAACGAGUGUGAGAGUGGAAAGUUCACACUGUGACGGUAACUUACCAGAAAGGGACGGCUAACUACGUGCCAGCAGCCGCGGUAAUACGUAGGUCCCGAGCGUUAUCCGGAUUUAUUGGGCGUAAAGCGAGCGCAGGCGGUUAGAUAAGUCUGAAGUUAAAGGCUGUGGCUUAACCAUAGUACGCUUUGGAAACUGUUUAACUUGAGUGCAGAAGGGGAAAGUGGAAUUCCAUGUGUAGCGGUGAAAUGCGUAGAUAUAUGGAGGAACACCGGUGGCGAAAGCGGCUCUCUGGUCUGUAACUGACGCUGAGGCUCGAAAGCGUGGGGAGCAAACAGG
This 765-nucleotide ribosomal RNA is filed under the name uncultured Streptococcus sp. Its description in RNAcentral is "bacterial SSU rRNA". It matches the Rfam family "Bacterial small subunit ribosomal RNA", at positions 28 to 776 of the family's 1533-position model. Lineage: Bacteria; Bacillati; Bacillota; Bacilli; Lactobacillales; Streptococcaceae. The record is from RNAcentral.